RNAcentral lists this unclassified non-coding RNA (332 nucleotides) under soil metagenome. RNAcentral's name for it is "partial contains 5.8S ribosomal RNA, internal transcribed spacer 2, and large subunit ribosomal RNA". The stretch from base 1 to 120 matches the Rfam family "5.8S ribosomal RNA", at positions 35 to 154 of the family's 154-position model. The record is from RNAcentral.
GAUGAAGAACGUAGCGAAAUGCGAUAAGUAGUGUGAAUUGCAGAAUUCAGUGAAUCAUCGAAUCUUUGAACGCACAUUGCGCCCUUUGGUAUUCCUUAGGGCAUGCCUGUUCGAGCGUCAUUUAAACCUUCAAGCUCAGCUUGGUGUUGGGUGACUGUCCGCUUCACCGCGGACUCGCCUCAAAAUUAUUGGCGGCCGGUACAUUGGCUUCGAGCGCAGCAGAAACGCGAACUCGGGCCCGUCGUAUUGGCUCCCAGAAGCUAUCUUCACAAUUUUGACCUCGGAUCAGGUAGGGACACCCGCUGAACUUAAGCAUAUCAAUAAGCGGAGGA